CUCUGAGCUGGCACGGUGGGGACAGGAGGAGGGAGAGGUGAGAGCCGCUGCGAAGGGAAGAUGGACGCUUGCCAUGGAAGAGCAGCGGGCUGGGUGCCUCCUGGGUGCCCGCAGGCUCACGGGGCCAAAACUCACAAACAAAAACCACAGAAAAUCGCCGGCAGCCCGUCCUGGGGAGGCGGCAGCCGCUUGGCAGCGGAGCCAUGGAGAACCGGGCUGGGAGCAGGUGGACAGUGGCGACCAGCGCGGCACAGGUCUCCCUGGAGCCAAGUGGAACCCCUGACCUGUGCUGUGAUGAAGCCGCUACUGGGUGACCCUUCCACCACGCUGUGGAGCUGGGCCGGGGCCACUGCUGGAGGCCCGCAGAAGCACUACUCAGAUGCCCCAUGGGCCAGAGCCCCCUGGACUCCAAGGCUUGAGUCUGAGGGAGGCCAAUCUUCUCAGCCUCUUCAGGGUCCAGAAGGGUUGAAGGAGAACCAGCGAUAAUGUAAUGAAUCUCAGGAUGGGCAGACAUGGCUCCCAAGAGGACAGAGCAGGAGCAGGAGCCUGCAGGCAUGAGCCCUGAGUCUGCAGUGCACCGUAUGGUGUUUGAAGAGGCUCACAACCCCGGGGGGGGGGCACAGAUAUCACUGACAACGUGGGAUGAGCGACUGUUCUUCGGAGGGUGAUCAUGGAGGGCUUCCUGGAUGAGGAUGAGGACACGCCUGGGAAACACAAGGGCUGAAGGACCCAGGCCGAUGGAGGGUUUGCGUCCAGGUGGAUGGGACAACACUCCAACUAAUUGAGAGACCCAGUCAGGAUGGAAAUCACUUAUUCGUUCCUCUACUUCUCCCAUCUCACCUUAGUCUCAGAGAUUUUUGAGGGCAAAGUAUUUUAUCUCUAGCGCUAGAGCCUC
Pteronotus mesoamericanus is the source of this 895-nucleotide long non-coding RNA. RefSeq lists it as uncharacterized. The record is from RefSeq and is a predicted model, not a curated record. Lineage: Eukaryota; Metazoa; Chordata; Mammalia; Chiroptera; Mormoopidae. The transcript is spliced from 3 exons.